Molecule: long non-coding RNA, 601 nt
Filed under: Equus asinus (donkey)
Lineage: Eukaryota; Metazoa; Chordata; Mammalia; Perissodactyla; Equidae
Description: lncRNA (ENSEASG00005025929.1)
Source: RNAcentral
CAGGGGUCUGCCGACACCCACUGGAGCACAGAUUUAAUCCAACUCAGUCAUGGCAGGCAGCCCAUCCUAGGGACUGGUCCCACCCAACAGCAAGCCCUCAGGCUACUUGUUGGCCUGCAUAGACUGGGUGCCUCAAUCCUCUGCAAGCAGACGUGGCAAUAAUCACAGAAGCGAGGUGCAGAGGCCUUCAGAGGCACACGUGAUCCAGGGGGCCAUGGACCCUGCCCGGCCCACUUCCUCAUUUUGUUUCCUGCUAGACCCUGGAAGGCACAGAACCCCAGCGAAGAACCUAAGAUGGAUAGAGGGAAAGUUUUUCCUCCUCUACAAACACAACGUCUGAGCAAUCAUUCCCUGAAGUCCAAGUUACACUGACUCAAGGGGGAGAAAACAACACAAAGAGGAUUAACUAGCUCACCGAGAGUUACACGGGAUAACAGGAAGAGUGAGUACUCACACCCAGGCAGUCUGAGUCUAGAGCUGUGUUCUUAAGUCUGAGGUCAUAAACCCCAACGCCGCUGAAGUCCAGGCCAAGCAGGAAUGGCCAGAUAGGAGCUGUGCCAAAUUGGUGCAUUUGCUCCCUGCUUCUUGGCCAAUAUUGCCC